GGAGCUGGAGCUCAGGGGUAGAGCACUUGCCUUGUAUGCAUGAGGCCCCAAGUUUGAUCUUCAGCACCA
This 69-nucleotide transfer RNA is filed under the name Ictidomys tridecemlineatus (thirteen-lined ground squirrel). Its description in RNAcentral is "Spermophilus tridecemlineatus (thirteen-lined ground squirrel) tRNA". It matches the Rfam family "tRNA". From Rfam's summary of the family: Transfer RNA (tRNA) molecules are approximately 80 nucleotides in length. Their secondary structure includes four short double-helical elements and three loops (D, anti-codon, and T loops). Further hydrogen bonds mediate the characteristic L-shaped molecular structure. tRNAs have two regions of fundamental functional importance: the anti-codon, which is responsible for specific mRNA codon recognition, and the 3' end, to which the tRNAs corresponding amino acid is attached (by aminoacyl-tRNA synthetases). tRNAs cope with the degeneracy of the genetic code in two manners: having more than one tRNA (with a specific anti-codon) for a particular amino acid; and 'wobble' base-pairing, i.e. permitting non-standard base-pairing at the 3rd anti-codon position. The record is from Rfam by way of RNAcentral. Lineage: Eukaryota; Metazoa; Chordata; Mammalia; Rodentia; Sciuridae.